Molecule: ribosomal RNA, 433 nt
Filed under: uncultured bacterium
Lineage: Bacteria
Description: partial 16S ribosomal RNA
Rfam family: Bacterial small subunit ribosomal RNA
Source: RNAcentral
AACGAACGCUGGCGGCAGGCCUAACACAUGCAAGUCGAGCGAGGACUUCGGUCCUAGCGGCGGACGGGUGAGUAACGCGUGGGAACGUGCCCUUUGCUUCGGAAUAGCCCUGGGAAACUGGGAGUAAUACCGGAUGAGCCCUUUGGGGGAAAGAUUUAUCGGCGAAGGAUCGGCCCGCGUUGGAUUAGGUAGUUGGUGGGGUAAUGGCCUACCAAGCCGACGAUCCAUAGCUGGGUUGAGAGGAUGAUCAGCCACACUGGGACUGAGACACGGCCCAGACUCCUACGGGAGGCAGCAGUGGGGAAUCUUAGACAAUGGGGGAAACCCUGAUCUAGCCAUGCCGCGUGAGCGAUGAAGGCCGUAGGGUUGUAAAGCUCUUUCAGCUGGGAAGAUAAUGACGGUACCAGCAGAAGAAGCCCCGGCUAACUCCGUG